Molecule: small nucleolar RNA, 61 nt
Organism: Callithrix jacchus (white-tufted-ear marmoset)
Lineage: Eukaryota; Metazoa; Chordata; Mammalia; Primates; Cebidae
Source: Ensembl
CCUGGGUGCUGAUAAGCAAAAGGUGCUUGAAUGUGAAGGUCAUAAUCGGCUUUAGCUGAUU